AGAACUUUGAAGAGAGAGUUCAAGAGUACGUGAAACCGUUCAGGGGUAAACCUGAGAAACCCAAAAGAUCGAACGGGGAGAUUCAUCGUCAGCGGCGCUGGCUUCCGUGCGGUGCGCGAUGUCGCGCGAGCGGGUCUCGGCUCGUUUCGCGCUGGCACGCCACCGCUGCGCGAUGCGUCCGGCGUCGUCGGCGUGCACUUCUCCCCUUGUAGAACGUCGCGACCCGUUGGGUGUCGGUCCACGGCCCGCUGUGUCGACUGUCGAGGAACGCGUUCACGCGCGUCCCUAGGCAGACACGCGGUCGCCCGGCCGGCUGCCCGGCGGUAGCAGUAUCUUCCUUAUGUCGUAACGAGCCGCACAAAGUGCGUACUCCGGCUCGACGGCAGGCUCGCCUCGCUCGGCGUUUACGGACCUGGUGCCGUUGUCGAGCGUUGUCUGCGGGCCGUUUCGCCGUCGAUGUCCUCGUACCGGCUCUCGAAAGUUCGCCUCGGCGGACGAUACCUGUCGGCGACGCUACUGCUUUGGGUACUUUCAGGA
RNAcentral lists this ribosomal RNA (537 nucleotides) under Signiphora perpauca. Its description in RNAcentral is "eukaryotic LSU rRNA". The record is from RNAcentral. Lineage: Eukaryota; Metazoa; Arthropoda; Insecta; Hymenoptera; Signiphoridae.